CCGCGGCCACACCCCGGGGUGGCCCCGCCCCCAGCUCCUCGCCCCGGGGGGGGCGGUGCCGGGAUCCGCGGCCGUGCCCCCCGGGUGGGGCCGGCCCGGGCCGAGCCCGCCCCGCGCCGCCUUUGGGCCUCGCGGGGACCCGUAGCGGGCUCUCGCGGGCCGCGGCCUUGCCUCGCCGUGGAGCCUGGCGCCUGAGGAGCGCCAGACUUCCCAGAGGAGCCCUU
This 224-nucleotide long non-coding RNA is filed under the name Anser cygnoides (Swan goose). Its description in RNAcentral is "lncRNA (ENSACDG00005005843.1)". The record is from RNAcentral. Lineage: Eukaryota; Metazoa; Chordata; Aves; Anseriformes; Anatidae.